AUUACUUUUUUGAGUUCUCCGUUUCUCUCUCCGCCUGCUUUUCUUCUAUUACUCUUAACCUUAGAGCUCAAAGCCAUUACUUUAUAAGCUAUUUCGGGUAUUUACAAUUCCUACUUUUCUCUUGCAAGAACUGUAUCUUCAUAGAUUAGAAACAAUAAUGAUUGGCUAAAUUGUAGAAGUUAUGUUGGAGAACCUAACUAUCAGAUCUUUAUUUUGGAUCGGUCCAAUUUCAUCGAAAAACACUAUUUAUAUGAUCUAUCAUUUUUCGGAGGUUUUGUUUUGCUGAUUUUGAAUUGUAAUCUUGCUAUUGCCCUAUCUUCAUAUCUUUACAGAGAUAGCACGGGUUUCUAGGAUUGUGCCAAACCAAAGUUUUGGUAAACUUGAUAGACUGAGAGAUAAAAAUCCCACACUUAUGUCUUCAUCUAACAUUUUAUCAAAUGUUGCUGGUGCAGGGUUAGCUGGUUGGCAUGGACUUCCGCAGAACGUAAUUAGUUUUCUGAUCCUUUGGUUGCUUCUAUAAUCUAUAAUAUGUGUCGAUCAAUGUAGUUAUGUUAGAUUUUUUUUUUUUUCAAUUUAAGCAGAAUGAAAUAGAAAUGCAAUGCCAUUGCAUUGAAAACAAAGAUGAAACUACUAUAGUAUUGCACCUUUGAUAUUAGUGUAGGUUCCUUAAGUGAAUGUCAGUAUCAUAUUUAGUGAUGUAGAGCAAAAAGAGAGAGAGAGAGAGAGGAUAUUUAAGACCACAUGUACAGUCUCAUUAUUCAGUAAUAGUAGUCCUAUUGGUAUGUUAUAAAUCCCGAACUAACAAAUGAGAAAAUAUCUGAACUUAUAGACUAAAAUUUUUACCUGAAAUAAAUUGAUUUCUAGAAAGACACCACAGGCUUUAGGAAUUCAAUGAAAUUUUCCCUUCUUUUUGGACUCAGUAAAUGGGGGAGUGAUUAUCAAAACUCUCAACUGAUUACCUAUAAAAAGAGUUUGCUUACGGUGUAGGAAUGUGAAUAGCAAUUAUAUGUGGUUUUGUGUUGGGAAAUAUACCUAUAAUACUUUUUCGAUAUUUCCUGCCAAACUUGUGGGUCCUUUCUUGCCUUGUCUAUGAUGUACAUGUAAGAAUUGAUUCAAAUAAUUAACCAAAAAUUGGAAAAUAAAAAGGUGUGUAAAAGUGGAAAAUGAAAAGGUGUGACUACGUGUCAACUUCGGCCAAAUAUUUGGAUUUGAUCCGAUGAUCAAAUUACAAAAGUAAAUAGACCAACUUGUUCUACCCAUCGAGUAGAUUGUAGUGGUAUAUUUGGAAUCUCAAAACCAAUUUCGGAUGAAUGAAAAAUUGAGGAUCAAAUUUGGAAGAAAUGAAGUGUUGCAACUUUUCGAAAGGAUGCAGGUUUUGGCCCAUACUACUUUAUUUGCACCCUUUCUACAUCUAUGAAUAGAGCCCUAUGGACAUGGUUUUGCGUGCACCAAUUGCAAUGAGCAUUCAUUCUCCUCUUGCAAUUCUCUCAUUUCAAAUUCCAUAGCAUUUUCAUGCAUUUCCCUGGUAGAGAGGGAAUUCCGUUCGAGUUUGCUGGUCGAAGUCAUUUGGAGUGCUCCUAUGGCUCGACAUGUUCAUUGUAUCUUGGGAGAUGAUUGUCAAAAAAUUGUUAGCACCGAUGCGGGUCAAAUUCAUCUUAAGGAAAGAGUUAUACUCACCAAAGCCAAUCGCAUCACUUACAUCUAAUUUUUUCUUAUCUCAUUUCUACUUGAUUUUAGAAAAUGAUUAAUUUUAUUUAUAUGGUUUAUGCAAGGUUCGAUAUGAAGAAUCACAUGUUUUAAUUCAAGAAUGGAAAUGAUCAGAUUCGAUAAUCAUUGGCUAGUUUCUCAAACUCCAUUUCGGUAAGUCGAAACCUUGUUGCGAUUUCGUGAACAUAAAUGGUAUAUUUUUUGUGAAUAUAAUAUGCAUAUAAUCGGUGUAUUCCCCAACAAUCUUAAGAUGAAAUUUCUUAUGCAUAUUAUAUUUUAUUUGCAAUCGAAAUCAAGAUACUGCAUGAAUAAAAUCAUAAGACAGAAUUUUGACAUAUCAUGAUUCUGGUAAAUGUGUUCUAUUACAACAUUUUAAUUAGAGAAAUUCAUGUGUAAUGAAUCUAUAUAUUAUAACAGAAUCGAUAGUGAUUCUAUAAUUUGAAAUCAUUCAUUUAUAAGUUGAAUUCACUAAAAUAUAUUUCAAGUUGAUUUGUGGACAAACAAUAUGAUAUUAUUCAAUCAUGCACCAUAUAAUGUAGAUUCUGGUUUUGACCCAUUAGAAGAAAUUCUAAUAUUCAGAGAUUAGAGUUGAAAAUCUCAAAUUGGUGCACUAGAUUAUAUGAUAAGUAGUUGUGAAAUUCAUAAUACAUAUGAUAUCCAUGAACCGGUGCAUACAUGUUUAUGCAUUGUAUUUGUUGGUAGUCUCAUCUAUGAGUUUUAUUUGUUGGCACUCUUUUAAUCCAAAGUGUAUCUAUAUUAAAAGAUAAUUUGUGUCAGAAGUUGCUUAAGGAAUUUUGUUUGGGAUGGUUGGCAAAAUCUUGUCAACUAAUUGUAAACAAAUAGUAUGCAUGCUAUAUGGAAAAAUGUAUCUUUCCAAAUUAAAAACAGUUUUUAAUUUCUGAAAUGGUGUGACCCGUUUGAAUUGUUUAGCAUGAAAUAUCUGUCCAGAUAGUAUAUAAAUGUAAACUGAUUUGUAAAGUCAAAUUGCACAUGGACAUUGUGAAUUUUAUAUGCUAACCAUUGCGCUCCUUCAUGUUUAAAUUGCCUCAAUUCAAAGUUAUCAAGAAAUAAAUUUACUAAACCUACGAAAAAUGCAUGUUGGGAUAAUUUUAAUUGUUCAAAGCAUGUUGGCUUUGGCUUUGUCAAAAUCUAGUAAUGCUGAAAAUUAUAGUUUGUGCAGAAUUCCUUACUUUUAGUUUAUGCAUAUGACAUCCCAAUAACUUUUGUUCUAUCACUAUGGCAAAUCAUUAUGCGUUUGAAUAUAUUACUUGCAUGAGAAGCAUAUUAUAACUGAUAAAUAUACACAUAACGGUAAUGGCAUGAGUAUGCAUUUAUUUUAAGUAGGCAACUUUAUUGGGUAUGUAUAUGAUAAUCAUAUGAAGCAGAUUAGUGUAUUCAUUUGAUGAAUCCAUACAAGUGUUUGGAUUUUGGAUAGACCUUUUUGGUUAAAAUGGUCUGGUUGGUUAAAUUUUCAUAUCUUAUUGAAAUUAUACUAACUUUGAUUAAUGUUGAUAGCCUCAUUUAAUCCUAUGAAAUUAAGUGAGAUGAUUUAAGUGGAUAUAAUUAUUUAGUUAUGAGAAUUAAGCCACUUAAUUAUUUGAAAUAUUCUACGAUCAAUUUAGAUGAAAAUGUUCAUCCUUUCAAAUAAAUAAUCAUGACUUUUGGUAGGAUUAUUUUUCAAUGGGUGUGUCUCAUCAUAGAGACUAAUUCAAGAGGUGUGUCCUUUUGUAGGAUUGUGUCUCUUGAGAACACAACUUUUCAACCUAUGGUUGAUUCGUUCAUUUAAGUUUGAAUAUGUUAAAUAAGGUGAAUAUGUACCUUAUUAUUUGACAUGAAAUGAAACUAUCAUGUGAAACAUCACAAAUGUGAUAAGAGAAGUUGCGAUUCUUGUGAAUCAAGAUGCUUAGCCCUCUUCACUGUUGAAAUUGACUUCAAUCGUGAGAUCAAUUAAAUAAGUUUAUACUUGGAAAGCAUCGUUGGUCUAUAUGAUGGAAUUGAUUUAAUUUGGAUGAUCCAAUUAAGAUAAUUGGAUUGAACUAUGAUAAAUUGUGAAUCGAUGACCACUACUUAGGAAGUAAUUAGACUUUCACUAAGAACUCGACAAGGAUAUUAUCUGAGAGAUAAAUGAAUUGAACUAUAAAAGUGUUGUUGAACCCUAAGUUCAAUUGUAACCUAAAAGAUUUGGGGCCGGGGGGGGGGGGGGGGGGGGGGGGGCUUAUCAUAAAUGCUCGUGAACUUGAAUAAAAAGUUCAAAACUUGUGGAUGCAACAUUACUAUAUUGCAUAUGUAUUCCUAAUUGAGGAAUUGUGAGGGUAACUCAGUUUAACAGUUACGUUUGCUUCUAUAUUAUAAUCACAAAAUGAUAUCUAUGGAGAUAGAAAGAUAAAAAAAACCCUUAUACUAAUUAUAAGGAUGAUAUAUACUAAGUCUAAAGUGCAUGAAAUGGGCUGUAAAGCUGAUUAUGGCGUUUGUUUAGACAUGCAAGAACAAUUGGAAUAUAUGAAGAAUAUUCAUAAAGUUCAAAUGCAUGGUAACGUUUCAAUGAUGAUAUUGAAUACCUAUGAUUCUGAAAUCCACUAGUAAAAGUGAUUGACUAGUGUAGUAUUUGAUAGAAAUUCUCCAACUGUGUUUGGAAAUUGAUAAAGCUAAUGACGCAUAUAGCUUCAUGAGAGGAUUUCUUGGUGGCGACAAUUUGUAUCUAUCAAAUGAAUCGAUCAUUGGCUAGCAAUAUUUGAUAAGAUACUAAGUCACAUAUAAUGGUAAAUCUAGACACAUAUGUCUAGACAUAAUACUGUUAAGCAGUUGAUCUCAGUAGUGUAAACUCGUGAUACCUUUAAGAGAUUUACCGAGAGAUUAAGUAUACUGCGUAUCGAAGGGAAUGAGGUAAAGCCUACUAUGUUAGAGUCCUUGUAAUGGUAACCCUACCUUGUUGACUGGAGAUCCCAAGAUCUUGGUUCAAAGGGACAACUAAGUUAUGAGAAUUCCAUGAAGCACUAACGAAAAUAGUUUCUUAACUCAUUCCUAUGAUAUUAAAGUGCUUUCUGCAGAGUUGUAAGAGGUUAAGAUAAUCUUUUAAUGAUUCAUAUAUAUUGAUUAAGUCAAGUGGAGUAUGACAGAAUAUUCUUAAUAGGAGGUCACUUAUGUGAGUGUGAAGUGGGGCCGCUUCAAUGAGAAUUAUUCAAGGCUUGAAUUCUUUAAACACUCGUAGAACCAAGAAGGGUUCAGGGCCAAAAUGAACCAAGUCAUGAGAAUCAUGAACGGUUUAGGAAAGACAUCUGUGUGAGUAUCAUUGUUUUGGCUUACACUAAAGGCUGAAUGGUUCAAGAUAUCACGUUUACCAAUUAGCCGAGUAAGUCCGAUAGUAUUUCACUACGGGAGGUUCUAGGCCCGAAGCUACCAUCCCCGAUGCAGUGGCUUUCCGCUCUCUCUCUACUUGCAUCACAUCAUAGCAUUACAUUUACAUACUCGAAUUUCCAUUCAUGUGGGGGAUUGUAUGAAUUGAUUCAAAUAAUUAACCAAAAAUUGGAAAAUGAAAAGGUGUGUAAAAGUGGAAAAUGAAAAGGCGUGACUACGUGUCAACUUCGGCCAAAUAUUUGGACUUGAUCCAAUGGUCAAAUUACAAAAGUAAAUAGACCAACUUAUUCUACUCGUCGAGUAGAUCGUCGUGGUAUAUUUGGAAUCUCGAAACCAAUUUCAAAUGAAUGAGAAAUUGCGGAUCAAAGUUGGAAGAAAUGAAGUGUUGCAACUUUUCGAAAGGAUGCAGGUAUUGGCCAAGUGUUGAAACUUUUUGAAAGGAUGCAUGUUUUGGCCAAUACUACUUUAUUUGCACCCUUUCUACAUCUAUAAAUAGAGCCCUAUGGACAUGGUUUUGGGUACACCAAUUACAUUGAGCAUUCAUUCUCCUCUUACAAUUCUCUCAUUUCUAAUUCCAUAGCAUUUUCAUGCAUUUCCCUGGUAGAGAGGGAAUUUCGUUCGAGUUCGCUGGUCGAAAUCAUUUGGAGUGCUCCUAUGUCUCGACGUGGUCGUCGUAUCUUGGGAGAUGAUUGUCGGAAAACCGUUAGCACUGUUGCGGGGCAAAUUCAUCUUAAGGAAAAAUUUAUACUCGCCUCGGCCAAUCGCAUCACUUACGUCUAAUUUUUUCUUAUUUCAUUCCUACUUGAUUUUAGAAAAUGAUUAAUUUUAUUUAUAUGGUUUAUGCAAGGUUCGAUAUGAAGAAUCACAUGUUUUAAUUCAAGAAUGGAAGUGGUCAGAUUCGAUAAUCAUUGGUUAGUUUCUCAAACUCUAUUUCGGUAAGUCGAAACCUUGUUUCGAUUUCGUGAACAUAAAUGAUAUAUUUUUUGUGAUUAUAAUAUGCACAUAAUCGGUGUAUUCCCCCACAGUACAUUUAAUGAGAAUCAUGGAUGACAAGCUAACAAAGAUCCGUUGAAUCCUCUAGAUUGAUAUGGAUCGAUUAGAAGAGAAGAUCCUAAACCAAUUAGAAAAUGAAAGGAAUAUGAAGUAUGUACAAAAACAUACAGGAUUUACAAAAAAUGCGUAUAACGUUUUGCUAGGUUGUCGAAUUUUUGGCCAUAAGUACAUUCCAAAAAUUUCUUUUGAUUGUGCACAGAUUUGUUAGAUGACAAUGUCAAAUUUUUUGGGGAGGGGGGGUCAAAAUCGAUUGUUUAGGAAUCCAUUUUUGCGUUUUUAUGUUUUGAAUUACUUUUUCAUUAUUUAUAGUAUUUUAGUUUUAUUUAGAUUUGUUUUGUAGUUUUAGUUUAUUUGGAUUUGUCUUUAGAAUUAGAGUUUUGCUUUGAUUAGGAGUUUAUUUUAUGCCUAUAAAAGGUUUAUUCAUUUUACAACAAAAACAUUAAUUUUUAAGAAUUAAUCAUAAUGUGAAAAUUUUCAUUUUAUAGCUUGUUCUUAAUUGAAAAGAACUUAUUAAAUAUUUUUCACAUUUUUGGCAUUCAAACUAUUGGAACUUAUCAAAGAUUUAUAUUCUUUGUGACUUUCAACAAAUUCACAAUAAGGUUCAUAAUUUUUGUAAUUUAGGGGUCAAGUUGUCCUAUAACUUUGGUUUGUUGAUUCAGUUUCAAACCAGGAUUUUAGCUUUGGUUCCUUGAUUCAAUAAAUAAAAUUACUAUUGUUACAUGGGUUCGCAUCAGUUGGUAUCAAAAUAUUGACUCUAAAAUUCGAUUUUAUUUUUUUUCUCUUUUUAUUUUUGAGUAAAAAGUGAGAUUAAAAAAUAAUAAUAAGGCAAAGAGAGAUCAAGAAAAAAUGUGAAGAAAGUUCAAGAAGAAAAAUAUAUUUAAUUUCAAUGUCAAGAUUCAAGAGCGAAUAUUCUUGAAGAGAGAGAAAAUGAUGAGAAUCAUGGAUGACAAUGAUAUCAAGGAUCCAUUGUAUGUUUUGAAUUGAUUCAAAUCAAUUAGGAGAGAAUAUCCUAAACAAAUUGGAAAAAGGAAUGAAUAUGAAAUAUGUGUGAAAACGUAUAGGAUGUAAAAAAAUGCGUAUAAUUUUCUACUCGUUGGAUUUUCGACCAUGAGUACAAUUCGGAAACAUCUUUUGAUUUUGUUUAAGUUCGUCGGAUGACUAUGUCAAACUUUGGAGGUCGAAAUCGGUUGUUUAGGGAUCCAUAGUUUUUUCAAAAUUUGUAGUAUUUUAGUUUUAUUUAGAUUUGUUUUGUAGUUUAUUUGAAUUUGUCUUUAGAAUUAGAGUUUUGUUUUGAUUAGGAGUUUAUUUUAUACCUAUAAAAAGUUCAUUCAUUGCACAAUAAAGAUAUUAAUUUUGAAAAUUAAUCAUAAUGUAAAAAAUUUCACUUUCUAUCUUGUUCAUAAUUGAAUAGAAUUUAUCAAAUAUUUUCAAUAUUUGUAGUGUUCAAACUAUUCUAAUUUAUCAAAGAUUCAUACUCUUUGUGGUUUUCAACAAAUUCAUAGCAAGGUUCAUAGCUUUUGUAAUUAAGGGGUCAAGUUCUUCCAUAACUUUGGUUCUUUGAUUCAAUAAAUUAUUCGGUCAAGCUUCAAAUCCGGAUUUUAGCUUUCUUGGGUUGUGAUUUAAUCUUUUGUAGACUUAAAAGCUACUAUUGCUAUGUGGAUUGUAAGUGUAAUGCCCUAUGUCCAAUCAACUUUGAAUAUAAACACUUUUAAUAUAUAAUUUAUGCAAUUUGAAUCUACCGACUCUAUUAUUUAAUUAAUAUUCAAUUAAAUUAAAUAAUAGAGUCGGUAGAUUCAAAUCUUAGUACUUUGUUAAUUACAAAAAGUUGAGAUUGUGAAAUACAAAUUAAAUAUGAUUGAAUCUUAAAUUAUCCAUGGUCGUAUGUAAUGAUGAGAUAUGGAUAUCGUUAUUACGGAUAGACUAUCACGUGUGGCAUUUCUUACUUAUGAAGUAACUAGCUGAUUUCACAAGCUAAAAUGUGAUGAUACUUAAAAUGAACAAGUGGAUGUUUUGUUAUAGAACAAAACAUUAGAGAUCCAGUGGGAGAUUCCACAAGGAUAACUAUUUGAGUGUUAGUGGUUAAUUUUUAACUUUUGGUAGUGGAAUUGGUCAUUUGACUUGAGGUCAUCGCAGUGCCUUACAUGAGGGCAAUUAUAUUUUGGUGAUAUUGGAUGUUGCUCUAUUAAGGGCUGCUAAUACAACAUCAUUCGGGUAUGUUAAGGAUCAUAUGAAGGUUGUGAAUGAUCAAUAAAGAAUUCGUCACUUUUAGAUAGUAAGAAAUUAUGACCUAUAUUUCAUUCAGUUAAGUUGAUAACGAAAUAAGCCACACUAGUGGUAUUUGCUUAAAAAAAAAAAAAAGUUGAUAACGAAAUUCUUGGCGAAGGUGUACUCAUAAGUGAAAAUGAAUUUCAUUUUUGACUUGUAUUGACUUAAUAGUGGAAUGAAAGAUAUGAUCGAUAAUUAACAUUGACACUUAUCCAUAUCUAGUAAUUGAUCGUAUCAUAUUGAUAAAUGGAUUAUAGUUUCACAAUAAACGAACAAGUUUGGUUUUGUCAUACCAUGUGACAUUUUUUGUCACAUGGACUGCCCUAACACAUUGUUAGAUGUUAAUCUUGGACGACGAAUGUGAAUUGGUGAUACAUUAAAAUGGGUGUUACAAUUUAUUGAUUUUGAAUAGAUCAAAAUAAUGAUUCACGUCGUUUGGCAUCAUAAUUGAGAAUCUAAUAUGUCACACACAAAAGGAGAGCUAGAAGAACGAGAUUUACCAACUAAUUAAUUAACAAGUGUUAGAUAAUUAAUUAAUUGGGUUGCUUAUUAAUAGGCUCGAAUUAAUUAAUUUGAUUAAUUAAUUCAUGGAUCGAAUUUAAUUAAAUGGGUUAAUUAAAUAUUGAACGGAGUUAAGACCGUUUGAGCUUAUAUAAUAAGCAGCUAGGGUUUGAAAAUUGUAGAUAUUCUCAUUAUUUUUACUAGCACAAGAAAAUCAAAACCCUGGUUCCCUCUCAAUCUUGUUUCCUGUAUAGAUUUUCAUUGGUGGGUAGGCAAUUGGACAGCCGUGGGUAGCAGAUCAAAAUUGUUGGAACAAAAGAAACGCAAAGGAGUUUGUAGAUUUUAAUAAAGGUAUAAUUUCUAUCACAAUUUCUAUUUAAAUGCAAAACAGAUCUUUGGUGGGAAUUAAAAUUUGUUUUAUUUUUCACUUUGAAUGAUUAAGCAAAUUUCCAACAGUAUUCGCAUCAACAUUUACUUUAUGCAUGAUUUUUUUUGUUAAUAUGAAUAUUGUUAAUGGUUUAUGGGAUGCAUGAUGAAUUUGUCAUCAAAGUUUUUGAACUUGGUUUGUGAUUUGUUUUCACUCCCACUUAAUUUGUAUACAAAGGAUAGGACAUAACUCUUCUUUUAGAUGUUCCAGUAAUUUUAUUUUUUAAAAUGUUUAGCAGGAUUUUUAUCCAUCUGUUUUAUCUUUUUAUGCAUGUAAAAAGAUCAGCUUCAUUAUUAUCUCCUACAAAAGUAAAUACAUAUUUUUACCUUUAUUUUAUUGUUAAACUUCAAUAAAAUUAAAAUAUUUAAUUCACAUACUUCUUUAUUUGUAUUACACACGGUAAAAAAAAAAAUUAGUGCUUGUAAGAUUAUCCGUGUACUUCUGUCUUAACCUUUUUUUAUCUUUUCAGGUCCUUUUUUAGCUGUCCAAAAUCUUGAAUUAAAAAAAAAAAAGGAUCCUUAUAUAUGUGCCCGUAUCCCACACUUGGACCCAAGUCCAAGCAACAUGGGUACACAUUGUUCCAUCAUAUUUGAGACAUGUAUUUCAUGGUUGGAGUGUUCAUUUCUCUUGCAGCACAAGCUAAGCUACACAAGUUCACUCAAGAUGGUAAUCACCCAAUUUCUGUUGGGCAAGAUGUAUUAGAUCCUUCAAGAAUAGCUAGGUCUAGUUUUACUGUCUAUUACAUUCAUAAAUAUUACAAAAAGGGUAAUUGAUACAAAAUGUACCUAUCUUUCAUGUUUAUUGUUGAAAACAUCCCUACAUUUCAUUUUCUUCCACAUUUCUUUGCACAUAAGGCCAUUUUGACGAUUUUACCCUCCAUUGAAAUGAAGCAAAAAGAAAAGAAAAGAAAAAAUAAUUAAUUAAUUGCAAUUAUAGUCCCAAAUUUUUAAAAAAAAUUAUAAAUAAGUCAUAAUUUAUUGUGAAAUAAAAAUUUUUAAAAUUAAAUAGAGAAAAAAACUUGAAUGUACAAGGAAAUAAUCAAGAAAUGGAGAAAAAAUUUUUAAUCAUAACCAAUGGAAAUGAAAAUUUUUGAAGAUUACGUGAUUUUUGCCUCAAGCCUUCCAUCUACUUUUCACUGAAUAAAGAUUGAGAUUUAUGCUUACCCAUUUUUGAAGAUUUUCAAUUUCAUUGGUUAUGGCUCAAAAAUUUCUCUAUUUCUUGAUUAUUUCUUUGUACAUUUAUGUUUCCCUUCUUCUUUUUUGGGUAAUUUUAAAAAUUUUCAGUUCACAAUAAAUUGUGACGAUUUGUCAUUUUUUUGAAAAGUUGGGACUAUUAUUGCAACUAGUUCUUUAUUUUUAUUUUUUUAUUUUAGUUUUAUUUGAAUAGAGGGUAAAAUUGUCAAAAACUAAUGAAAAUGACCUUCUGCGCAAAGAAAUAUAAAAGGUAUGAGCGAAAAUGCCAAAAAAUGAAAGUUUGUGACGUUUUCCAUAAUAAACUUGAAAGGUAUAGACGUUUUGUGCCAAUUACCCUUACAAAAUUAGGACAAGGGCGGCAGUGAAUGUUUGAAAUCCGUACUAGAUGAGUAUGUGUAAAAAUCAUUAGGUAACUUUCCAUGGGCCACUUAUUAGAUUCAUUUAAAAUACAUUCAUUCCCACUGGAACCACAACUGAGGCAUUGAAUCUGAUGAAGUGCAUAAGGGAUUAGAGUUUAUGAUAAAAUGGGACCGUCGGAAGGCAAAAUAAUUUUUUUUAAUUUUAUGAUAACUUCGGGUUGGUUCGUUUUUGGCGAAUUGCUAGUCUAAUUCAAUCAUAAUCGAGCCAAUAAAUAAAACUCAGAGCUUUUGCCCUGAUGCAAGGCCAAUUUUGGGCAAAAUCCAUCGUUUAGGCCCUCGUUUAGGCGUUUUUGCUAUUUAUGGUAAUUUUUGUUUUUGCAAUAUCCUUUUCCAUAAAAUUUAGAUUUAUAUUCCGUUUGUUGGAGGACGAUCCUGAAGAUAAGGAUUUUCCAUCUUAGUAGUUAUCUCAUAUUUUUCUAUUUUUGGAAACAUAUCUUUUUAUUCUAUUUUCCGAAUUUUGCUAGGUUUUCCUUCUAUUUAAGACGUUGUAAGCUAUUUGAGGCAACAAUUCUUGAAUUCAAUAAAAAUUUCCUUGAGAGUUUUCUCAUUUUGUGAUUGUUCAUCUUCCCUAUAAUCUUUUGCUACAUCAGUUGGUAUCAGAGCCGAAAUCGUUCCUUCACCAUGCCGCCAAGGAGACGUCCUGAAGCCCGUGAUGCCCCGGUAGAGGAGGUAUAUAGACUUGAUGAAAUUGCACAGCUAUGUCAGCAAGUGGAAUUGCUGACACAACAGAUCACUGUGCUUAUGCAGCAGCAGCCUGCGCUUGCAGCCCAACAGUUUGAGGAUUUCGAUGAUGAGAAUCUGCUUGCACCGCUAGAACAACCAUUGGAUCCGCCAGUUCGCAGGAGAAGGGGUGGUCAAGAGGACAACCGACGUUGGGAAUCAGCAUUUAAGGUUGAUAUUCCAUGAUUUCAUAGUGGGUUGAGUCUAGAGGAGUUCUUGGAUUGGGUGACUGGAGUGGAGGAGAUCUUGGAGUUUAAAGAGGUUCCCAUCGAUAAAUGUGUGCCUCUCGUUGCAACGAGGCUUCGUGAGCGAGCACCGAUGUGGUGGCAGCAGACUAAAGUGACAAGAUCCAGGCUAGGGAAACCUAAGCUUGCAUCGUGGGAUAAAUUGAAGAAGCAUAUGAAGAAACAGUUUUUGCUUUACAAUUAUGUGUGGACCAUGUACCAACAACUGCAGAAUCUGCGUUAAGGUGGGAAAAUGGUUAGCGAUUAUACCACGGAUUUUUAUAUGUUGGUUACGAGGAACGAGAUGAUGGAGACGGAGGAGCAGUUGGUGUCACGGUACGUGGGUGGUCUUCGCCCCCAAAUACAGGAUACUCUUAAUAUGUUUGAUCUUGUGACAGUUUCUGAAGCACAUCAAAGGGCAAUACAGAUAGAAAAGCAACAGUCCAGGAGAACUACUAGUCCUUUCAUUGUAGGGAGUUCUUCCAGUAACCCACAAUAGCAGGUGACACGUCCUGGUAAUCCUGCUCAAUCUGGUUCUCCUAGAACAAAUCAUGUCCAACAACCAACACGUCUUAGGAUUGGUAUUCGUUGUUUUGGAUGCGGAGUUAUAGGCCAUAGGCAGUCUGAGUGCCCCAAAAAUCCGCGCAGGGGACUCUUUGUUGAUUAGGGGAAUGGUGAUUAUGAAGGUCCGCUUGUAUUUGACAAUGAAGGCAUAGAAGAAGCAACAGAAGAGGAAUAGUUUGUGGUUGGUGAUGUGGGUCAGCCAUUAGUGGUGAGGAGGAGUUUCCUGACCCCCUUGGAGAAUAACACUGAUUGGUUGCGUAACAAUAUCUUUCAAUCGACAUGUACUGUUGGACGGAAGGUAUGUAAAUUUGUUAUUGAUUCUGGUAGUUGCGAGAAUGUGAUGGCUAAGGAGGUCGUUCAGAAAUUAGGUUGGGUUUGCAGACUAAGAAACAUCCCAAACCAUACAAAUUAGCCUGGCUGAAGAGAGACAAUGAUGUAGAAGUUUCUCAACAUGCUCGAAUCAGCUUCUCUAUUGGACCUACCUACAAGGAUCAUGUUUUAUGUGAUGUAGUAGAGAUGGAUGCGUGUCACUUAUUGUUAGGAAGGCCGUGGUAGUUUGAUAGGCACUCACUGCAUGAUGAAUAUACCAACACGUACAGCUUUCUGUUUGGGGAAAAGAAAAUUGUGUUACUACCGGAUAAGGGUUCAGUACAAAUAGUUGGGAAUAACGCCAAUUCACUGACCAAAAAGAAGUUCGAGACAGAGAUGGAGAAGUCUGAGGUAGUGUAUAUGCUGGUGGGAAAGUUGAUUAACAUUGAGCAUGAAGUCCUUCUCGCAGUUUAGUCAUUGCUGAAGGAGUUUCAUGAAGUUUUCCUAGAAGAGCUUCCAGAUGGAUUACCACCACUGUGGGAUAUUCAGCAUCAGAUUAACUUGGUGCCUGGUGCUACCCUGCCUAACUGAGCGCAUUACAGAAUAACCCCCACUGAGCAUGAGGAGUUGCGCAGGCAAGUUGAGGAGCUUUUGGCAAAAGGACACAUCAGGGAGAGUCUUAGUCCUUGUUCUGUUCCUGCUCUUCUCACGCCGAAGAAGGAUGGCACGUGGCACAUGUGAGUGGAUAAUAGGGCGAUCAAUAAGAUUACGGUGCGUUAUCGCUUUCUUAUUCCCCGCUUGGAUGAUUUGUUGGACCAACUUACCAGUGCUUGUGUGUUUAGCAAGCUUGAUUUGAAGAGUGGGUACCAUCAGAUUCGGAUCAGACAUGGGGAUAAAUGGAAGACCGCAUUUAAGAUGAGGGAAGGAUUGUACGAGUGGUUAAUCAUGCCCUUCGGCCUCUCAAAUGCACCUAGUACGUUCAUGCGGGUUAUGAAUCAGGCUCAUCGCCCAUUCAUCGAUAAAUAUGUUGUGGUCUACUUUGAUGAUAUUUUAAUUUAUAGUGUUAAUGAUGAUGAUAAUGUCCAGCACCUUAGAAAAGUUCUUUCAGUUCUUCGCAGGGAUAAAUUCUAUGCUGCAAUGAAGAAGUGUUCAUUUCUUACUGAUAGUGUGGUGUUCCUGGGUUAUGUGGUGUCGAAGGCGGGGUUAACAGUUGAUACAUCUAAAGUAGAGGCGAUAAGUUAGUGGCCACAGCCCAAGACUGUCACUGAGGUGCGAAGUUUUCAUAGCCUUGCUUCCUUCUAUUGCAGGUUCAUACCACAUUUCAGUAGCAUCAUGGCACCAAUUACAGAUUGCAUGAAGGAUGGUAGGUUCCAAUGGACUCGCGAGACAGAGUCGUCUUUCCAAUUGAUUAAGCAAAAGCUGACUACUGCUCCAGUUUUUGUGUUGCCUAACUUUACCCAACCAUUUGAGCUACAUUGUGAUGUUUCAAAAGUGGGUAUUGGUGGUAUGCUAAGUCAGAACAAUCGCCCAUUGCAUAUUUUAGUGAGAAGCUUUGUGACCCGAACUUUCGGUAUAGUACUUAUGAUGUGGAGUUCUACGCAAUAGUCUAGGUCGUUCGGCAUUGGUGUCACUAUUUGUUCCAUAAUGAGUUCAUUUUGUAUACGGAUCAUGACGCCCUUAAACACCUUGGUACUCAUGAUAAGGUGUCUGCUUGACAUGCCUCUUGGAUUACUUACUUACAGCAGUUUACCUUUGUGAUCAAGCACAAGGCAGGUGCCCUUAACAAAAUUUCAGAUGCAUUGAGUAGGCGCCAAACUCUCCUUACAGAAAUGCGAGUGGAGGUUCCAGAUCUUGACAGUUUGUGUGACUUAUAUGCUACUGACCCAUACUUUUCCCAUGUUAUUCAGAAGUUGCGGGAGGGCAUGCAGUUGGAGUUUGCAUGGGUUGAUAGGUUUUUUUUUUCAUGGCAAUCAGUUGUGUAUUCCAGAGGGCAGUUUGAGGUUGAAGAUCAUUCAAGAGUUGCAUAAUGAGGGCCAUGUGGGUCGUGACCGAACAUUGCAGCUUGUUGCUGCUUCUUACUUUUGGCUAUCAUUGCGCAAAGAUGUCGACAAGUUUGUGGAGCGUUGUUGGGUUUGCCACUUGGCCAAGGGCAAGGCGACAAAUGCGGGCCUAUAUAUGCCCCUACCUUGGACAGACGUGAGCAUGGAUUUUGUUGUGGGACUCCCCAUGACUCAACGUGGGUUUGAUUCGAUCUUCGUAGUGGUUGAUCGAUUUGCAAAGAUGGUACAUCAUCCCCUGCAAGAAGACUACAGAUGUCGCCAAUGUGGCCUUACUAUAUUUUCGUGAGGUUUAUUGCCUGCAUGGACUACCUACAUCUAUUGUGUCUGAUCGGGAUACUUGUUUCCUUAGCCAUUUCUGGCGCAGCUUGUGGCGCUCAGUGAAUACACGGUUGGACUUCAGCAGUGCAUAUCACCCUCAGACAGAUGGUCAAACAGAGGUUGUUAAAUGUUCCUUGGGUGAUUUAUUACGUUGCCUGGUUGUUGAUCACAUCAAGUCGUGGGAUCAGAAGUUGUGUCAAGUAGAAUUUGCUCACAAUCAUGCUGUUAACCGAAGUACAGGUUUUAGUCCAUUCGAGGUGGUGUAUGGCCUUGUUCCUCGUGGUCCUCUUCAUCUGGUUCCAAUUUCUACUUCUGUUAAAAUACAUGGUAAGGCCGAAGACUUUAUUUAGCAAUUGUAGCAGGUUCACUCACAAGCUCAUGAUCAGUUGCAGGCUGCUGUCACUAAGUAUAAGCAUGCUGCGGAUCUUAAAUGCAGACAUGUUGAAUUUGAGGUAGGUGACUUUGUUUGAGCGGUGUUAACAAAGGAUCGUGUUCCUGCUCAUGAAUACAACAAGCUUACUGAGAAGAAGAUUGGUCCAUUAGAGUUUAUGAUGAAAUGGGACCGUCGCAAGGCACAAUAAUGUUUUUUUGAUUUCAUGAUAACUUUGGGUUGGUUUGUUUUUGGCGAAUUGCUAGUCUAAUUCGAUCAAAAUCGAGCCAAUGAAUAAAACUCAGCGCUUUUGGCCCUGACGCAAGGUCAAUUUCGGGCAAAAUCCAUUGUUUAGGCCCUCGUUUAGGCAUUUUUGCUAUUUAUGGUAAUUUUUGUUUUUGUAAUAUCUUUUUUCUUAAAAUUCGGAUUUAUAUUCCGUUUAUUAGAGGACGAUCCUAGAGAUAAGGAUUUUCCAUCUUAGUAGUUAUCUCAUAUUUUUCUAUUUUUGGAAAAAUAUCUUUUUAUUCUAUUUUCUGAAUUUCGCUAGGUUUUUCUUCUACUUAAGGCGUUGUAAGCCCUUUGAGGCGACAGUUCUUGAAUUCAAUAAAAUUUUCCUUGAGGGUUUUCUCAUUUUGUGAUUGUUCAUCUUCCCUAUAAUCUUUCGCUAUGACAGAAUCUUGCUCACCGUAGAUUUCCGUUUGGGAAGGGAGUAAAUGAUCCCAUCACUCAGUUGCGAUACUGUUCCUUCUGCUAGUUAUUAAAUAUGACUCUCUUUGAAAACUCCAUUGCUUCAACACCAAAAGAAUUCUCCAUCAUCGGGAAAGAAAGGUGAAAAAGAGAUAUUUGAGCCUACCAGAAGCUAUGGGCAAUGAUACAGUUUGAUCGGCCCAUUCCAAUUUGUGGUGCCAACCUUACAUGGUAAUUGGAGAUUCUGGUAGUAGACAUGGAUACAAAUUUGAGUUUUCGGUGACAUUGUUGGAUGCUCUAGUCCUUUAGGAAACCAUAUGAGGUUUAGCUAUGUUCAAAUGAAUCAACUAAAGUUAAUUUCAGAAGUACAAUUUUGUCAUGAUGUAUUAGAAAUUAUUGUCAAGUUAAUUUAGUCUUUAGUAGAUCUAUUCAAUGUCUGUUGCAAAAUUGUGAAAAGAUACUGGCAGUUGCGACCGUGUGACCAGGAAUGUUGGACUGAUAACUGGACUUGUGAUUGCUUUACUACGUCUACAUCCAUUGUGAUCAAUAGAGAGAGUUACCCUUUUGUAGCCUUGUGGACCAGGUUGUUGGUCAAUAAGUGUUGUCUUGGAGUCUCUCUCUGGCUUGCUUUAUUAGUAGGUACUGACGGAGUGAACCUUCUAUAACCUUUCUUUUUUGGUAGAAAUCAUCUUGUCUUCUUAUAAAUUUGGCAUUUACAAAGUUUCUAUUUUUAUAUUUCAAUUUUUGAGUUGGAAUUUUCGGAAUAACUCAUUUGCUUUGGAAAGUUAAUUCUUAUACUUUAUAGUUCUAUGCUGUCUUCCUAAAGACUGUUCUUCACAUCUAUGAUGAGUUGCUACCUCUCUCUCUCUUUUUUAUUUUUUUAUUUUUAUUUUUAUUUUUAUUUUUAUUUUUUUCUUUAGGUUUUUCUUUUUCUUUUUUUUUUUUAUGAUUCAAAAUGAAGAAAAUACUUAUUCUUCUUUUUAUGGCAGAGACUGAGUGGACCUAAGGGGAUGACAAUGAACUUGCACGGAGCACCAGCAAGUCCGAGUUCAUACACUGUGAAACGGAUUGAUCGCUAGAGAUUCAUGUAGAUAAUUAUCCAAAUGUAAGAUUGUUUGUUAUUCUAAUUUUUCUAAGAACGUUCAUUAGUUACCAGUCCUUUUUCAUUUCUUAAAACAAGUGUCCUUUUCAUUACAUUAUUAUCUAGAUUACUACUUUGUGGAUUCAUAGUUCAAUUCUGUUGGGCGUCUUUUGGGUCCUAAAGGAAAUUCACUAAAGCGAGUGGAAGCUACAACAGGAUGCCACGUGUAUAUUAGAGGAGAGGGUUCAAUAAAGGACUCGGACAAGGAAAUAGAAUGGCUCUCCCUAUAUGAUGCAUUUUUGUGGUGUUAUAAAGACUAAUUCUGAGGUAGCUAUAUAGUUGAUUGAAAACCUGUGAAUGAUGCACACAACAAAAGGGUCAAGAAAAAAUAAAAGUGAAGAGGUACAUUUUGGAAUUUUUUUUACCGAAGUAGGCUCCUUUGUAUGUACCCGAAUGGGCAAAUCCACAUUUGAGCUGUUACUGGUUUUAUUCAGAUAUGAUUUUCAAAAAUUUGGUAACGUACUAGGUUUCCAUCCAUUGGAGUCUAUGAGUCUUGUAAUUCAUUAUUAAAGAUCCAAGUACAGAUUUUUAAGGCUUUCCUUGUGAUCCUGGGAUACA
RNAcentral lists this long non-coding RNA (17870 nucleotides) under Olea europaea subsp. europaea. The record is from RNAcentral. Lineage: Eukaryota; Viridiplantae; Streptophyta; Magnoliopsida; Lamiales; Oleaceae.